AUCACAUUGAAAUUAGCUAAUAAAAACUAAAUACCAUCAAAAACAAAAUACACCUAAAUGGUAAAAAUAAUACUGUGGAAUUUCCCUAAGGAGUGAAAAGACUUUUCAGAAUGAAUCACAGGAAAAAAUAUCUACUAUUGUUAUCAUGAGCAACUUUUCCUAGAGGAAAAAGUGCUCCAGAUUCUGAAACAGCACAAAUGCUAUUUUUUUUUCUUUUUGAUCUAGAAGAACUGAAUUCAGAUCUCAGCCUGGUUAUUUGCAAAUUCUUAGAAUGUGAUGACCUUCUUGUUUAUAAAGAGGAGACAACAACAUCUAUAUGUAUUUCAAUGAUAUCUUUCCAUAUCAAUCCAUGUAUUAAUCAGGACUCUCCAUGACAUAAGGAUUAGACAGCAGUUCAAACCAGAUUCGAUUAAAAAGAGACUUCUUUCUUGCUCAUUCAACUAUAAGGUCCAGAGACACCAUAGAUCUGCACCCCAUCUGCAGAUGGAUCCAAGCACACUGAAGAUAACAUCAAAAACCUGUCUUUCUUUUCCCUUCUGGUCCCUGCUUUCCUCUGCCGUGGUUUCCUUCCCAGCAGGCAUCAGCUGCUUAGCAACUGAUGAAGAGUGUGAGGAGUGUGUUUCUUUCCUGAUAAACUUUCAGCCCAGAACGAACAAUCACCAGUCCAGCGUGAGUUGUGGACCACUGGUAGGACUGGAUAGAAGAAUCAACCUCACCCUCACCACACUAACUGAAAGUGAUACUUCUCUUCAAAGGAAAAUCAGAGCACAUUACAGAAAGAAAGAAGAAAAGAAGCUGGGCAGCUCGAAUGAGAUAGAUUAGGGCAUGGCAAAGGCUGGCUGGGGAAGUAGGCGUGACCUGUUAACUACAAGAUCCGGGACACAUGUGCUUAAAUGUUCUCCAAAGCCCUGCACGUGGACUUCUGGCUAACCCGACCAGGUUUUCAACAGGAUGGCCUAGACCUGAGAUCAGCCUGAGGCGUGGGAUCCAAGCACCGGCUCUGAGAACCCAGAUAUAGAAGUUCUCGCGGUUUCCUCAAAAUUUGGACGCUAUUAAAGAAAGGCAGCCAGGAGGAGCAGCUAUCUUGGCUUUCCAAGAAAGCCCAUGCUGGGUUUUUUUGUUUUUGUUUUUUUUUUUUUUUGGUACUGGGGAUCGAACUCGGGUCCGCUUGCAUAGCAGGCGGCAAAAACACUGAGCUAAAUCCCCGGCCCUAACCCAUGCUGCUUUUACCUUUGCUCUUACCCUCUUUUUGUCUUUACUUGGACCAGG
RNAcentral lists this long non-coding RNA (1269 nucleotides) under Heterocephalus glaber (naked mole-rat). Its description in RNAcentral is "lncRNA (ENSHGLG00000043716.1)". The record is from RNAcentral. Lineage: Eukaryota; Metazoa; Chordata; Mammalia; Rodentia; Bathyergidae.